RNAcentral lists this ribosomal RNA (220 nucleotides) under uncultured bacterium. Its description in RNAcentral is "partial 16S ribosomal RNA". It matches the Rfam family "Bacterial small subunit ribosomal RNA", at positions 111 to 334 of the family's 1533-position model. The record is from RNAcentral.
UAAUGUAUGGGGAUCUGCCCGAUAUGGGGGAGUAACUACUGGAAACGGUGGCUAAUACCGCAUAAUGUCUACGGACCAAAGCAGGGGCUCUUCGGACCUUGCACUAUCGGAUGAACCCAUAUGGGAUUAGCUAGUAGGUGGGGUAAAGGCUCACCUAGGCGACGAUCUCUAGCUGGUCUGAGAGGAUGAUCAGCCACACUGGGACUGAGACACGGCCCAG